This 438-nucleotide ribosomal RNA is filed under the name uncultured bacterium. Its description in RNAcentral is "bacterial SSU rRNA". It matches the Rfam family "Bacterial small subunit ribosomal RNA", at positions 954 to 1392 of the family's 1533-position model. The record is from RNAcentral.
AUGGGAACGCGAAGAACCUUACCUAGACUUGACAUCUUCUGCAUUAAUCGUAAUGGAUGAAAAUCCCUUCGGGGACAGAAUGACAGGUGGUGCAUGGUUGUCGUCAGCUCGUGUCGUGAGAUGUUGGGUUAAGUCCCGCAACGAGCGCAACCCCUAUUAUUAGUUGCUAACAUUAAGUUGAGCACUCUAGUGAGACUGCCCGGGUUAACCGGGAGGAAGGUGGGGAUGACGUCAAAUCAUCAUGCCCCUUAUGUCUAGGGCUACACACGUGCUACAAUGGUGGGAACAAAGAGAUGCAAUACCGCAAGGUGGAGCUAAACUCAAAACCCCAUCCCAGUUCGGAUUGUAGGCUGAAACUCGCCUACAUGAAGCUGGAGUUGCUAGUAAUCGCGAAUCAGAAUGUCGCGGUGAAUACGUUCCCGGGUCUUGUACACACCG